GUGUGCCCAGCUCAGUCUUUCCCUCAGCCACCCAGGUGUUGAUGGCAUGUGCUAGGCCUUGGGGACCAGCACGCUUGUUAAGGGGGACCUCAAAGGGAAGGGUUGGCUUCUCCUGGGUUAUGGGGUCGGACGGAACAGAGGUGAAACAUCUUGUCUGUCAUGUCCUAAAAAUAUAAUCUCAUACUGGGCACUCAGCUUUUCUGAACCUCAGUCUCCUUGUCUCUAAAAUGGGGAGAAGGAUGCCUUCCGUGCGGUGGUGUGGUUGAGCAGGUUCAUGAGCUCAGCUCGCAGAGACUCGGCCUGGCCUGGUGUAGGCUUCCCUGAACAUUGGCAGGAGCCUCUCCCCUUCUUUGGGAGCCCAGAGGGUGUGGGAGGGCCCUGGGGAGAUCACCCUGAGGAAGCUGGAGGGGAAGGGUCCAGGCCUGGAUGAAGGAGGGUGCUGAGUUGAGACUUGUGGGACUGUAAGAAUGUCCUGGAAGGUGGUGGGUAAAAAGUGCCCCUCCCCCCCACCCCCCCAACUGUGGGCCAGAAAAUAACUGAACAAGGCCAGGAACGAGGGGCAGGUGCGGAUGGGAAAGCCUUGCCAGCAGGGAUCUGGCUGAGGCCAGUUGGGCUAGAUGAAACCAACGAAUGGGUAGUUGAGCCAGGGGGCUUGUGGAGUUUGGGAGGAAGAGGGACCAGUUGAGGCCAGAGGAACUAGGUGAGCCUGGGGGUAAUUAGCUGAGGCCAGGGACCUAGCUGGAUUGCUUUAGCUACACGGACCAGAACUACUCAGACUGCCUAAGCUGGUGGAGCAGGGCUCAGGGACACGAGGAAGUCCUUGUGCAAGACAGCUGUCCACAGCUCCCAGGGCAGCCCUGGCCAGCCUUCCUUUCCAUCUGGGGCCUCUCGGCCUUCCUGGUCACCACCCAGCAGCCUGGACCCCAAGGAAGUUCUGGAUCGCCCUGUCCAAAGCAGGUCAAGAAUACAGUAGAGGAAGUGAGGCGCCUGGAGCAAAAGCUUCCGCUGCUGGAGAGUCUACUUGUGUGGAAGCUGCUGAGUCCUUGCCAUUUACAACACCUUCUCCCAGGGUGUCCUGAGUCUUAUCUGGCAAUGGUAAGGCUGCUCCAUCUAUUCAGGGACCCAGGUGAGGACUCCACCAGGAGUAGGAAGACUACCACGCUCCCACAGCUGGUAGAAGGCAUCUCAGAUCUGUAAGCUCUGGAGGCUGAGAAGUCCAAGAUCAAGGUUCUAGAGAUUCUAUGUCUGUCCAGGGCCUUCUUCCGGGAUUGCAGACAGCCAUGGGGAGAGAGAGAUCAUCUCUCAGAUUAAACUUCUCAUGAAACAUGGGAGGGGACAUGGCGACCCAUGAAACCUGAUGCGUAUCCUCAGACUUCCGACCCAAAGGAGGAAAAGGCUCCUCUCUCCCAGAUCCAGUUUAAAAGUUCCUGUGCAGAACAGUGAUAGACAAGGGUUUCUGUGCUCAUUCCUGGGGCUAAUUUGUGGCAUGGAGGGACAGGAAAAUGCCAUGAAUGUAGUCAGGAGGGCAGAAUCUGCUCAUAAAAGAAUAAGGAGGGGGCUGGGCUGUCUGAACAGAAGCUGUGUCCUAUGUCUCCCUUCUUCUGAGAACCAUUCUCUUCCCUUCCAGCCAGAGGGAGCCAUCGUGGAAGGCCGAUGCUGCCCCUUCACCCCAUCGGUUAGACAUGGGCAUCUGCUAGCACUAUAGCAUCCUCUUCCAGGAGUUCAAAGCUGGGCUCAGAGGUACCAGAGCAGUCUGUGGCUUGCCCGUACUGACAGGCCCUUACAGGGGCCAUGUCUUCACCAUCAGGGUGGGAAGACUGAGAAACAAAAGACGGCCAGCUUCCAAACUAGAGGAAAAGGAAACAGCAACUUACAGAGGGAAGCAGAUGCCAAGGGCUGAGCAUUCUCAUGGGAUUUCCAUCCUGGUUCCUCUGAUUCCUGGUGUCCAGCCAUCUCCCCACCUGCUGCCAGCUCUACAGGACACCCUGGAUCCGUGUAUCCCCUCCCUCUCCCUUAAGGAAGCUCAAAUUGCACUUCUUGUCAUUAAAAGCAUUCUGCAGGCACCUGGGUGUCUCAGUCGGUUAAGCAUCUGACUCUUGGUUUCGGCUCAGGUCGUG
Mustela erminea (ermine) is the source of this 2117-nucleotide long non-coding RNA. RefSeq lists it as uncharacterized. NCBI's taxonomy places the organism in Eukaryota, Metazoa, Chordata, Mammalia, Carnivora, Mustelidae. The transcript has 6 exons. The record is from RefSeq and is a predicted model, not a curated record.